UGCGCAGGUGGGCUUGUAAGUCAGUGGUGAAAUACUGCCGCUUAACGGUAGAACUGCCAUUGAUACUGCAAGUCUUGAAUAUGGUUGAGGUAGGCGGAAUGUGUCGUGUAGCGGUGAAAUGCAUAGAUAUGACACAGAACGCCGAUUGCGAAGGCAGCUUACUAAGCCAUUAUUGACGCUGAGGCACGAAAGCGUAGGGAGCGAACAGGAUUAGAUACCCUGGUAGUCC
This 229-nucleotide ribosomal RNA is filed under the name uncultured bacterium. RNAcentral describes it as "partial 16S ribosomal RNA". It matches the Rfam family "Bacterial small subunit ribosomal RNA", at positions 568 to 796 of the family's 1533-position model. The record is from RNAcentral.